RNAcentral lists this ribosomal RNA (280 nucleotides) under uncultured bacterium. RNAcentral describes it as "partial 16S ribosomal RNA". It matches the Rfam family "Bacterial small subunit ribosomal RNA", at positions 29 to 334 of the family's 1533-position model. The record is from RNAcentral.
AACGAACGCUCGCGGCAGGCCUAACACAUGCAAGUCGAACGGUCUCUUCGGAGGCAGUGGCAGACGGGUGAGUAACGCGUGGGAAUUUACCGAUUGGUACGGAACAACCCAGAGAAAUUUGAGCUAAUACCGUAUGUGCCCCUUCGGGGGGAAAGAUUUAUCGCCAAUCGAUGAGCCCGCGUUGGAUUAGCUAGAUGGUGGGGUAAAAGCCUACCAUGGCGACGAUCCAUAGCUGGUCUGAGAGGAUGAUCAGCCACACUGGGACUGAGACACGGCCCAG